This 441-nucleotide ribosomal RNA is filed under the name Pichia kudriavzevii. Its description in RNAcentral is "eukaryotic LSU rRNA". The stretch from base 101 to 257 matches the Rfam family "5.8S ribosomal RNA". Lineage: Eukaryota; Fungi; Ascomycota; Pichiomycetes; Pichiales; Pichiaceae. The record is from RNAcentral.
GAUUAAGGUACUACACUGCGUGAGCGGAACGAAAACAAAAACACCUAAAAUGUGGAAUAUAGCAUAUAGUCGACAAGAGAAAUCUACGAAAAACAAACAAAACUUUCAACAACGGAUCUCUUAGGUUCUCGCAUCGAUGAAGAGCGCAGCGAAAUAGCGAUACCUAGUAGUGAAUUCGCAGCCAUCGUGAAUCAUCGAGUUCUUGAACGCACAUUGCGCCCCUCGGCAUUCCGGGGGGCAUGCCUGUUUGAGCGUCGUUUCCAUCUUGCGCGUGCGCAGAGUUGGGGGAGCGGAGCGGACGACGUGUAAAGAGCGUCGGAGCUGCGACUCGCCUGAAAGGGAGCGAAGCUGGCCGAGCGAACUAGACUUUUUUUCAGGGACGCUUGGCGGCCGAGAGCGAGUGUUGCGAGACAACAAAAAGCUCGACCUCAAAUCAGGUAG